RNAcentral lists this long non-coding RNA (117 nucleotides) under Canis lupus dingo (dingo). RNAcentral describes it as "lncRNA (ENSCAFG00020027158.1)". Lineage: Eukaryota; Metazoa; Chordata; Mammalia; Carnivora; Canidae. The record is from RNAcentral.
GGAGGUUUUCCUUCCUUCUUUUCCUGUUUCCCCGCAAUAGAAACGGCCCCGGUGAUGUGGCGCUGACGUGGUCGGCGGCUCAGGUAAAUGAGAAGAUGUGUUCACCCCUCUCAGCUU